This is a long non-coding RNA of Bombus pascuorum, 369 nucleotides long. RefSeq lists it as uncharacterized. NCBI's taxonomy places the organism in Eukaryota, Metazoa, Arthropoda, Insecta, Hymenoptera, Apidae. The record is from RefSeq and is a predicted model, not a curated record. The transcript is spliced from 2 exons.
UGGCGAGGAAGGUGAAAAUAUUGAAUGACAGUGAUAUGGUUAAGAUAGAUUUACGGAAUAUGAAUUGGGGCAAGUAUGUUGCAACUUACCUGAUGGGAAUUAGGACAUUUAUUUUAAAGCAAGAGUUUAAGUCAACAGCCCGACAACGAUUAUCAAGGUUGUACUGGAUACAUCAGAUCACCAAAAUAUCCGGUAUAGUAAUUUUAUUAUGGAUACUAUUUUGUUUUGUAUACUGACUAUUUGAACGUUACUUUUUUAUCUUUGAACCAGACAAUAUAAAUACAAUUUUAUGAAGAAGGGAUUCAUCAUCCUUCUCAUUUUGUCUUUUCAUUCGUCUCCUUUCUAAAUAAAUCCAUUUAUGACAUUUUU